This 484-nucleotide ribosomal RNA is filed under the name uncultured bacterium. RNAcentral describes it as "partial 16S ribosomal RNA". It matches the Rfam family "Bacterial small subunit ribosomal RNA", at positions 28 to 523 of the family's 1533-position model. The record is from RNAcentral.
GAUGAACGCUGGCGGCGUGCUUAACACAUGCAAGUCGAACGGUGAAGCAGGAGCUUGCUCUUGUGGAUCAGUGGCGAACGGGUGAGUAACACGUGAGCAACCUGCCCCUGGCUCUGGGAUAAGCGCUGGAAACGGCGUCUAAUACUGGAUAUGUGAUGUGACCGCAUGGUCUGCAUCUGGAAAGAAUUUCGGUUGGGGAUGGGCUCGCGGCCUAUCAGCUUGUUGGUGAGGUAAUGGCUCACCAAGGCGUCGACGGGUAGCCGGCCUGAGAGGGUGACCGGCCACACUGGGACUGAGACACGGCCCAGACUCCUACGGGAGGCAGCAGUGGGGAAUAUUGCACAAUGGGCGGAAGCCUGGUGCAGCAACGCCGCGUGAGGGAUGACGGCCUUCGGGUGGUAAACCUCUUUUAGCAGGGAAGAAGCGAAAGUGACGGUACCUGCAGAAAAAGCACCGGCUAACUACGUGCCAGCCGCCGCCGUAA